CCAAAGCCUUGUCUUUAUGUUCUUGAUGAGCCUUUUGAAGAUGUUAUUUAUCCAAAAGGGGAUCCUGAUGCUGUUUCAAUUAGUAAGAGAGAUGUGGAGCUUCUGCAGCCUGAGACAUUCAUCAAUGAUACUAUCAUUGACUUUUAUAUAAAAUUUUUAAAGAACAAAAUUCAACCAGAAUCGGUUCCACUUCUUCAAUAGUUUUUUCUUUCGGAAGCUUGCCGAUCUAGACAAGGACCCAAG
Molecule: unclassified non-coding RNA, 243 nt
Filed under: Hevea brasiliensis (rubber tree)
Lineage: Eukaryota; Viridiplantae; Streptophyta; Magnoliopsida; Malpighiales; Euphorbiaceae
Source: RNAcentral